GUCCCCGUAGUUAAAUGGAUAUAACAGCCCCCUCCUAAGGGGCAGAUGCAGGUUCGAUUCCCGCCGGGGGCGCCA
RNAcentral lists this transfer RNA (75 nucleotides) under Burkholderiales bacterium. RNAcentral's name for it is "tRNA-Arg". It matches the Rfam family "tRNA". Rfam says of the family: Transfer RNA (tRNA) molecules are approximately 80 nucleotides in length. Lineage: Bacteria; Pseudomonadati; Pseudomonadota; Betaproteobacteria; Burkholderiales. RNAcentral also lists the same sequence under 1 other name. The record is from RNAcentral.